CUGCGACCAGUUAAACUAAUCAGGUUCUUUUCUCAAGGGGACCUGGUGUGCAAUGGGUACCAGCAGCAGCCCCCUUGGGAGCGCAUGCGGCCUCUUGCUUGUACGGGUUCUCUAAUGAACCCUGAUGUUGGGU
Alexandromys fortis (reed vole) is the source of this 133-nucleotide small nucleolar RNA. RefSeq annotates it as small nucleolar RNA SNORA70. The record is from RefSeq and is a predicted model, not a curated record. NCBI's taxonomy places the organism in Eukaryota, Metazoa, Chordata, Mammalia, Rodentia, Cricetidae. The transcript has a single exon.